UUUACUGGGGGGAGGGGAGGUGUGGGGGUGUAAAGAAAAAUCAAGAAAGGGGUCCCAAUUUCCCCAUCUCGGGGGCCCCGGAAUGCUGGAAUUGUGGAACUUGUUAAAUAUUACGGAAUAUUCUGAAACAUUGAGGUCGAAAAAGGUCUGAAAAAGAAAGUUGUUUUUGAGGUGCCCCCCAACCGCUCUCCUAGAUCAUGCUGGAUCCAUCCCUGAGGUAAAUUUGCGAAAAAUAUUGUGUUUUAUUUUUAUUAAAAUGCUACAUUUGCCCCCCUCCUGCAGGAAAGAAGAUAUCUUUCACCUACAUUCCGUCGCCCCCUGAUACCAUACUAUACAUUCUAAUUUACAUUCUAAAGUUUGAAUUUUUCUCGUGUUUUAUUUAAUAA
This is a non-coding RNA of Paramuricea clavata, 386 nucleotides long. NCBI's taxonomy places the organism in Eukaryota, Metazoa, Cnidaria, Anthozoa, Malacalcyonacea, Plexauridae. The record is from the annotation of a GenBank genome assembly.